GCGAUCAGCUGUUUUGCCGGCUGAUGCGCGAGCCCGCGAGUGCAGCGGCCCUGUGACGCGCUCGGCAACAGGCUGAACCCUGUUUAGAUUAGCGCAGGUUUCUUUAAGAGAGCACUUGGUAGCGCACAUCCACUCCCGUAUUUAACCAGGUUACUAGAGAGGGGUUUUAUACAAUUCGGCGUUAGUUCGGCCAGUCAAGUCACAUGAUCAAAGCCAAUUUACUUUCAUGGAAAGGUACAGCGGUGAGCGCUCCCGUCUAAUCGGCUGGUGCGCGAGCGCGCUAAUUACGCAGCUGUGUCAAAUUAAGCAGAGUAAAGAGACGCCACUAUAUAGCAGAACAAAGGUUUUAGUUCCUCCACAGAGCUGUGAGAAUACUACCAACAAGAGCUGAACAGACAGCCGGUAAGAUCACUUUCUAUUUUCUUUGUGGAUGUGCGGCACUUGUUGCGCUGCUGUGGCAUUGGAAUGUGGGGCAAGGUGCUUUGUGUAAUGUUGGCUGAGUAAAUGGUUGCGUGUGGGGGAAAUGAGUCACUUGGUUCACUGCUAGAUAAUCAUUUUAUAUCAGAUAUGGAUUGUAAAUAUGUGCCUGUAAAAUUUGUGGUUAAUUAAUUCGGUAUUUAUUAAGUUGUGUUGGCUUUAAUUUGUUCCAUUAAUUCAUUGUUUCCUGUGGUUUAAAAAUGUAUUUUUAUGCAUUCACUGAAAUAAUUCAUUUAAAAUCUGUUUUAACUUAAAAGGAGAGAAUUUAAUCUAUUUUCAUGUACUUGUGUAAUGGCUAAUAUUUAAGGGUUUGAUAAUUAAUUGUGUUGUAUUAAUUGUUCAUUAUUGUGGGUUUUGAUAAUUAUUUGAUUUGUGAGUACUUGGGUAUGAAAUGUUAAUCAUGUGGUGUUUGUCAUUUUAAGGUUUUUCACCUACUGGAAAAUAAAAGGAAAAAAGGAAACAGUCUGGGCUUAUUGAGUGAAGUCCUGCCUAAUUGUUCAGCGUUGGUACACCCCUCCAAGUGUGGGGAGCACGGCGAAAAGCAAAACACUUGACAGUGAAAAACCGCUGCAGCCCGUUGCUGCGUCCAGGCCCCGCCCGCUGCUGCGUCCAAGUCCAGUGUCCCAAAGUUCUCAGUAAAGCCCAAAAUGGCCGAGUCAAAAUCCCUGCAGCAGCUGAAGAGGGAGAGAACGACUGCCAAACAGCGGUUUACCCGACAAGCAAACGUAUUGUUAAAGUCUUGCAAGAAAAUGUCGGCAGAAGAACUGGUGGAUGCCUUCGGCAAGGUCACACUUGAGGUCGAAAAGGUACUGGAGGCAAAUGAGGAGGUGGAGACCUUGACUGAGGAGGUGGAGCUCGAACCUGCUGCUAAAGAGUACAUCAAUGCAGAUGUGAGAAAAACAGCAGAGGACUGUGAACAGAGGCUUGAAGAAGUGGAGGGCACCGUCCAGAGGGUCCUAUGGCAAAACUUUGGCUGCUCCGAACUCUCCCUUGCAGUGGAAGCAGCUGAAAAAGAGUGCAAGCGGGUGGUGGCCAACAAACCUAGCCUGAAGCUGGAGGUAUACGAUCUCAUGCUCAGCAACCUUGAGGGGCUGGUGAAGAUGGCAAAACAGACCAUGCGCCAAUGGACGCGGUGGGUCCCAGAAGGAGAGCAGCCUGACUUCCGGCAGCGUGUCAGGAAUGUGGAGACUUCGCUGCAAGAGUUAAUUUCUGACAAGGCUACCUUGCUGCAGGUGAAGCUGGAAAGCAAGCGGCCCUCUGAGGAGACACCACACCAGUCACCUACCAUCAAGCUGAAACCAACGGCACUCCCACAGUUCGACGGCAACAAGCGGAACUUCUACCUCUGGAGGAAAGAGUGGGAGGCACUACAAAGGCAAGGUGAGCCAACUGGCUCCAAGGAGGUCAGGAAAAUCCAGCUGUUGGACAGCCUGGAGGACAAAGUAGUGAGGGACCUUCGCCUGUCAACAUAUGGGACGGCGGAUGAAAUAUUUCGUGUGCUGGGGAAUCGGUUUGGAAAUAAAACAGCAAUAGCCCUGGAAAUCAUUGAAGAGCUGCAGGCGCUGUCACCAGUAAAAAGUUACCAACCCAGGAAGAUUGUCGAUUUAAUACAGGUCGUGGAAAAGGCCCUGUAUGACCUCAGUGAACUAGGAAACACUGGGGCCCUGAAAAAUCCACUCGUUACCAAGUCCCUGGAGAGUAAGCUGCCAGACGGCUUAAAGAAGGAGUGGCUGGUCCAUGUGUCGGAAGGAGAGGAAGCCUCAUCACCUGAGGAGAGGUUUGACAUGCUCCUUAAGUUUCUGAGAAGUCAGGAAAAGAUUUAUGAGCAGCUGGACCAGCUCAGGGAUGAUGACCCUAGCAGGAGGGAGUCAAGAGUCCCACAAAAACAUGCCCGAACAAAAACCACCAACUCCUCAAGCUCCCAAGCAUCCUGUGUUGUCUGUGGAGAGAGGGGCCAUAGAAAGAGACUCUAUUACUGCAAGAAGUUCAAAGCUCUCAAAAUAGCAGAGAAAAAGGAAGCAGUUAAAAAAAUUGGCGCUUGUGGGAGGUGCCUGGAGGUCCACGAUGAUGACGCAGAGUGCAAGACCACCUUUCUGUGCAAAAGCGAGGGGUGUAAUGAUGCUCAAGGCCUGGGUCAUCACUACUACCUCUGUCCCAAGGCUACAAGUAAGGGAGAUGGGCCAAGGAAGCCAAAGCUCAGUCCAGCAAAAGGGGGAUGGAAAAAGUACACAGAGGCCCAGGAAGAGUUCCUGACAAGCCUGCCCCCUGACUCAGCCCAGCGGUGUCGUGAUGUCUUCUGCAACUCAGUCUCAAAGACAUUCAGUUCAGCCGUAUCUGAGAGGAGUUUGCUGGCACAGAGUGGAUUCGAAGAGUUCCCUGUCAUAAUGAUGAUCCUGGAAGUUACUGCAAAUGCUGGACAGAGGAUUGGGACCCUGAUUGACUUGGCGUCUGACACGAACUACAUCACUCAUGCGGCUGCAGGGGAGCUAAACCUGAGGAGUGAGGAUGUGACGCUCAUAGUCCAUGGAGUCGGCGGGAUGCAAGUGACAGUGGACACCAAGCGGUACUUCCUGAAGAUCCGGGUCACAACUGCAAAGGGAACCCUGAGGUCUCACCAGCUUGUGUGUUACGGACUGGACAGCAUUGCAGAGGUCAAUCGCCACAUACAACCCAAGACACUGCAAAAAAUAUUCCCGGAUGUCCCUCUUCAUGAACUGGUCCGUCCUACUAAAAUCAAGCUCCUCAUCAGCCAUAAGGAAGGCCGACUCGUCCCCCAAAAAGUGCGCUCUGUUGGUGACCUUGUCCUGUGGGAUGGUCCCCUUGGGAAAGCAGUGGGUGGCUCUCAUCCAGAUCUCAUGGAAGAUGUUAAAGUCAUAGCCCAUGGAUCUAGAACCCACUUUGCCCGCUCCAUGCGCACAGCAGCUGUUGCAUACCAGGAGGUCACUAGCAGGAGCCCAGUUCAUCACCUUCAACUCACCCAAGCAGUCACGUCUGCUGCCAACCGAGACUUCAUAGACUGGUGGAGGUGGGACAGCAUCGGGGCUGCGUGUGAGCCCAGGUGUGGCGGCUGCAGAUGUGGAAAUUGCCAACCUGGAGGGAAGGAGAUGACAAUCUCUGAGGAGAGAGAGCUGGAGCAAAUAAAGUGUGGACUGACCUACAUCAGUGGAGAUCGCCACAGCGAGAAACCACACUGGCAUGCAAAGUACCCUUGGGUGCAGGAUCCAGCAACAUUGCCAAACAACAGGAGAGCAGUCGAAGCAGCAUUCCUGAGGACUGAAAGGCAGUUGGCAAAGGAGCCAAGAUGGAAGGCGGCCUACAGAGCUCAAGUCCAUGAGAUGGUCGAGCGGAACGCUGCUGUCAAGCUGUCCAAAGAAGAGUUGGCAAGCUGGUCUGGACCUGUAUGGUACAUCAGCCACUUGAUUGCCCCAAACCCCCGCUCUGUGACUACGCCAGUCCGCCUCGUCUGGAACAGUAGCCAGAAAUUCAGAGGCCAGAGCCUGAACGACCUGCUCAUGAAGGGUCCAGACGUCCUCAAUGACAUCCGUGCUGUCCUCACCCGGUUUCGUCAAGGUGUCUUCGCAGCACUUGGGGACAUCAGUAAAAUGUAUAAUUCUGUAUGGCUUGAGGACCGGGAAGUACACCUGCAUCGCUUCCUGUGGAGAGACUCUGAGGAAGAGGACGUCCAGGAAUACGCCAUCACUAGAGUUAACAUAGGCGAUAAGCCAGCCGGCUGUAUCGCUCAAGUUGCCAUGCGGGAGACAGCCAACCUGCCAAUGUUUCGCCAUCUUGAAGGAGAGCGUCGAGUGUUGGAGCAAGACGCUUAUGUGGACGACAUCUUGACCUCGCAUGAUGACUUGUGCCAGCUCAAGCAAAUAACGACCAAUGUUGAGCGCAUCCUGAAAGCCGGAGGAUUCUACAUGAAGCCAUGGGUUUACUCCGGCCAAAGUGGGAGGUCAGAGUCAAGGCACUUAAAGAAGGAAGCACCCCCAGUGAUGGUCCUCCCAAACCAACUCUCUGAGGAGAACAAUAAAGCCCUGGGCCUUGGGUAUGAUCCUGAGAGCGACAAGCUUCACUUGAUGGUAGCUGUGAACUUCUCCAAAAAGAAAAGGAAAAUGAGACUCGAAGAAAACCUGUCAAGAGAGGAAGUCAGGGCUCGCGCGCCAGAUCCACUCACCCGAAGAGAGCUCCUCAGCCAAGUCUCUGGGCUAUACGACCCCCUAGGCCUUGCAACUCCUGUCAAACAAAAGGGAGCCAUCUUGGUGAGGAGAGCUUUCCAGGAGGCAAAGGUCAACUACAGUCCAGCAGUAGACACGUGGGAUGCGCCUUUGUCUGAGGGCCUCCGUGAAGAUGCCAUCUGCCUCUUGGAAGACUACGCUGAGCUCAGCCAGGUGAGGUUCAUCAGAGCCUUGACGCCACCUGACCCAUGUACCAAGCCCUGUGGUAUCACCUUCUCUGAUGGUAGCGAACGCUCUUAUGGUGCCGUAUUGUACCUUCGGUGGCAGGUACCAGAAGACGUGACCAUACGACUAGUCGAAGCGAAAGCCAGACUGACGCCAUUAGAUCACAAGGGGGACGCUGUCAAGGCUGAGGUCUGCGGAGCAGUCUAUGCAGCUCGUCUGAAAAAGCACUUCCAGAAACAAUGCAGCAUCCAUGUGGAGAAGUGGCACCACCUGGUCGACAGCCAGACAGUCCUUGGAGCCAUCCAACGUGAAAACUACGGCUAUCAAACAUUUUUUGCCAACAGAAUUGGGGAGAUCCAAGGCAGUACAAAUGUCCAAGACUGGUGGUGGAUCCCUGGGCCCCUCAAUAUUGCAGACAUUAUUUCAAGAGGGGCGAGCCCCAAGGAGCUGGACGAAGGCACAGAGUGGCAGCAGGGUCCUAAGUUCCUAAGUCUCCCAGAGACAGAGUGGCCAGUGAAGUCCGCCAAAGAUGUUGCUGUCAAGGCCAAAGAGAACCUCAUGCGCAUCCAGAGAAAGACGUUUGUUGCUGCCCUGACCCGAGCUGGAGAGAAGGCGGAGCCCAGGCCUGAACUAAUCUUAAGCCCCACUGAUCUGCACCGGCCUCCUGCCGGAGAUGCUGUCACAAGUCUGAUGGAUAUUCAGCGAUUCAGCAGCCUAACCAGACUGGAAAAGUCACUCGCACUGGUCUGGAGGGCAGCAAAGAAGUUUUUUCGUGGCACAGGAAGAUCAAAGUGGGAGGCAGUCCCGUUCAAUGGCACAGUCACCGUGGCAGAAAGAGAGGAUGCCUUCCGAGACCUCUGUCUAGCGGCACAAGUAGGAGCUACUUUUCCCAGCACCACAACGGACCGGCUGGUCGUGUACAGGGACGAGGCAAGUGGGCUAUUGGUAUGCGGAGGCAGAAUCCAGCAUUUCAAAGAAGACGGCUUGGCUGUUCCUCUGAUCCCCUUUGACACCUGGCUGGGGACUUUGCUUGCACGCCAGAGUCACCAAGAAGGGCAUGAAGGAGUUGCCGGGACUCUACUCAAGAUGCGAAAGAGGGCUUGGGUUGUGCAAGCCAGAAGGCUGGCCCAGAAAGCCGUUAACCAGUGCGUCCACUGCAGGAAGGCCAGAGCUCAAGUCUGUCAACAGGUGAUGGGUGACCUGCCAGGGGAAAGAUCAAGACCUGCUGCGCCAUUCCAGUUCAUGUCAGUUGACCUGUUUGGACCUUACCUGGUGAAGGACGAUGUCAAAAGAAGAGUAUCCAUGAAGGUCUGGGGGGUCAUCUUCUGCUGUAUGGCGAGCCGGGCCCUGCACAUAGACCUGGUCAACAGUAUGUCCACAGAGAGCUUCCUAAUGGCCUACCAAAGAUUCAUUGCCAUCAGAGGCCACCCCCUCAAGGUUUGGUCAGAUCCUGGGACCAACUUCAUUGGUGCAAAGUCCUUGUUGGGGGAUUUGUAUGCCUUCCUGAAGAGCCAAGACAGAGCUAGCCUCGAGGAGUAUGCAGCGACAAAUGGGACAGACUGGACCUGGAAAGUACACCCUGCCGACUCACCACAUCGGAAUGGAGCUGCUGAAGCUGCCGUGAAGGUUGCCAAGAGAGCUCUUCAAAGUUUGAGCAAGUCGCCUAAUCUUACCUUCAGUGAGUUCCUCACAGCCCUCCAAAUGGCAGCUAACCUGGCAAACGAGCGCCCUAUUGAUGCGAGAGUCCAGAGUCGGGAGGACCGCGUGGAGUACGUGACACCAAACUCACUCCUCAUGGGCCGAGCCUCUCACAGUGGUGACUCCAAGUCUUUUGAUUUCCAGGGCUAUCCCUACAAGCGGCUCAGAGAAAUCCAAGUCCAAGUCAACGAGUUCUGGAAAGCAUGGUCCCAGCUUGCUGGCCCAAACCUUUUUGUUAGAUCAAAAUGGCAUGCUACAGAAAGAAAUGUCUCCGUCGGUGAUGUUGUUUGGCUUUGUGAUCAAAAUGCUUUGCGGGGGCAGUUUAGACUUGGUAGAGUCGUCACUGUAGCUCCCGAUUCAAAGGGCGUUGUUAGGGAUGUUGAGGUUCUUGUCACUCCAGGCAACUGUGCCUCAGUCCACCAUCAGCAGGCAGUGAUCCACUCCACAGCUCUGAGUGACCGGAGAGAGAGGUCUAAUGGUGUAGUAUUGCGCAGAGAUGUCAGGCGGCUUGUAGUUCUUUUACCUGUAGAGGAGCAGUGCCCCUAGUGGGGAAGGUGUUUGGUAAGUUGUUCGCCUUUUCAGUUUCGCAACCUUUCUGACUAAGUCCAGAAAGCUUGAGUGGGAGGUGUUACGGCGAUCAGCUGUUUUGCCGGCUGAUGCGCGAGCCCGCGAGUGCAGCGGCCCUGUGACGCGCUCGGCAACAGGCUGAACCCUGUUUAGAUUAGCGCAGGUUUCUUUAAGAGAGCACUUGGUAGCGCACAUCCACUCCCGUAUUUAACCAGGUUACUAGAGAGGGGUUUUAUACAAUUCGGCGUUAGUUCGGCCAGUCAAGUCACAUGAUCAAAGCCAAUUUACUUUCAUGGAAAGGUACAGCGGUGAGCGCUCCCGUCUAAUCGGCUGGUGCGCGAGCGCGCUAAUUACGCAGCUGUGUCAAAUUAAGCAGAGUAAAGAGACGCCACUAUAUAGCAGAACAAAGGUUUUAGUUCCUCCACAGAGCUGUGAGAAUACUACCAACAAGAGCUGAACAGACAGCCGGUUUUUCACCUACUGGAAAAUAAAAGGAAAAAAGGAAACAGUCUGGGCUUAUUGAGUGAAGUCCUGCCUAAUUGUUCAGCGUUGGUACACCCCUCCAAGUGUGGGGAGCACGGCG
RNA transcript from Dunckerocampus dactyliophorus (ringed pipefish), 7725 nucleotides. RefSeq lists it as uncharacterized. Lineage: Eukaryota; Metazoa; Chordata; Actinopteri; Syngnathiformes; Syngnathidae. The transcript has 2 exons. The record is from RefSeq and is a predicted model, not a curated record.